AAUAUUGCGCAAUGGGGGAAACCCUGACGCAGCGACGCCGCGUGAGCGAAGAAGGCCGUAGGGUCGUAAAGCUCUGUUAUAAGGGGCGAAGGUUACCAUGGUUACUACCCGUGGUAAGUGACGGUACCUUAUGAGUAAGCCCCGGCUAACUUAGUGCCAGCCGCCGCGGUAAGACGUAGGGGGCGAGCGGUGUACGGAAUUACUGGGCGUAAAGAGCAAGUAGGCGGGAAUUUAAGUCAGGUGUGAAAGACCGCAGCUUAACUGCGGGGUUGCACUUGAAACUGGAUUUCUUGAGGGCAGGAGAGGAAAGCAGAAUUCCUGGUGUAGCGGUGAAAUGCGUAGAAAUCAGGAGGAAUACCAGUGGCGAAGGCGGCUUUCUGGACUGACCCUGACGCUGAGGUGCGAAAGCGUGGGUAGCAAAC
This 422-nucleotide ribosomal RNA is filed under the name uncultured bacterium. Its description in RNAcentral is "partial 16S ribosomal RNA". It matches the Rfam family "Bacterial small subunit ribosomal RNA", at positions 360 to 773 of the family's 1533-position model. The record is from RNAcentral.